This 3297-nucleotide long non-coding RNA is filed under the name Trifolium pratense (red clover). Its description in RNAcentral is "long non-coding RNA (TPRA_LNC000350)". Lineage: Eukaryota; Viridiplantae; Streptophyta; Magnoliopsida; Fabales; Fabaceae. The record is from RNAcentral.
AAUAUCAAACUUAAAGUUGUCCAACACAAAAAAAUACAUAUAAUUGAUUUAACGGAAAAUAACUAAAACUAAACUUCACUGGAUUUCAAAGAUUCUUUGAUAGUGGCUGCUUGAGAUCCUAAUCCAAAUAUGUUUCCCUUCUUGUUAAUGCCUCUAACCACUUCAUGUAUAUACUAUCAUCAUGAUUGUUGGCUAUGUUGUCUGCUAUCCUCACCUCUUUGAGAGUUUCUCUCAAACAAUUUAGUUUAUGCAGAUCAAUCUCCUCUCAUCAUAUGUAGAGAAGCAACUCUUAGCUCUUCCUCUAGCUCUACCAAAGUUUAUGCAACUCUGUGAGACCAAUUCAAAAUCAAAUAUUAGCAAUUAGCAUAAUAUGUGCAUGAAUUAACUACAUUGUUGUCAAAUUAUAUAAGUGUAGGAACUAACUAACAUUAUGUGAAUUAAAAAUAUAGAAUUUGAAAGAAACUGACAAGUUUUAAUGGCAUAACUUUUAAGUUGGUCUGAAACAAAUUUUCCUUCCUGUAUCCUUCACUUGGUCAUGGAACUCUUUGGGAAGUCUAGAGUAUAAAUUUGAAAAAGUGUUUAGGUUUAUUAAAAUAAUAUAAUCAAAUGAUAGGAUACUUACCAAAUGACAUGAUGUGGAGGUUAGAAUCAAAUCAUUGUCUACUAUCGAUCAAUUAUAUGUUAGGCGCUUGUGGUAUAAUUAAAACUAGUUUUGGGAUACAAAUUAUUGACCAGAAAGAAGCACAGAUAAUUAAAUAUUGGAACAUGACAAUAUUCAAUAUAUAGUUUUCUACAUUUGUAAUAUUGGCAUGCUGAAUUUAUUAGAUGUUGGAUAUCAGUUCAAGAAAUUGUGCAUCACUCUAGUCCUUGAAAACUAUAACAUUCAGUUUCUUCACUGCAAAUAGAUACAAGGAUCAUUCCAAAGAUUUUAAGCAUGUGAAGCACCAAUAAAAAAAAAACCCAUUAUCUUGAGAAUGAGAGAGAUAAACGACACUUACAAGGUAAAACUAAAACUAAAAUUGAUUUCAGACUUUAUAGAAAUGAGCAAACAAAAACACACAAAUUUGACACUCACAUUUUCCACAAAGUUAAAGUAGUCAUAGACACAAACAAACAAAUUCCACUAGUCUUACAUGUACAAGGUUCACCAGAAGCAGAGUUACUGGCCAUACCUGCUCUGUUGCUUCACUCUUCCACACACUCACUUUGCAUAAAUCCUUCAAAUAAUCUGUCAAAAGAGAAACAUCAUUUACAAUAGGAAAAAGAAAAAAAGAAUCAAUAAUUAAAGAAAAGAUAAAAAGGGAUAUCUACACAUGUAGCUUCAAAACAAAACUUAGAAACAAUAAGCAUAAUAGUUUAUUUAUGGAAGUCACAAUAGUAAAAACCCAACAUGAGCAAAAUAGAAUCUCUAGAACAUGAAAGGAACACAACUUAUCAAAGUUCCUAUUAAGAGAGUGAAGGCAAUGCCACAAAACAUAAGGUAUCAAGCAUAAGAUCAAAACAUGAUAUAUAUCAAUGCUAAAGGAUACAUGUCAUAUACUAGCAUAUAUUAGCAUUCAAAUUGAUAACAAUCCUAAAUAAUCAGAUCCCUUCACUCAUAGUUCAAUCUUAUUAAUUCCAAUACAUAUAAUAACUAGACAGCCUAAUGCAACUUCAGUAUGACAUCAGUUAAAGUUAACAAAGGUAUGCUGUAUCAAACAAUACUAAAAAAGACAACAGAGACAAUCAUUAUAUUGUUUAUUUAUGUUUGUCAGUUAUGAACAGUGGAGGUGGCUUUAUCUAAUUUAUAGUACAGAGAACUCUGGAACAUUAGAUCAGGUUCAAACUCAUAGUCAAUAAUAUAUAGGUCACUUUGUUGGUGAUAAGGUGGCAUUGAGUUCCUUUACCAGAAGCAGGAGCAAUGGAAAUCAUAACAUGCAGUGGAUCUUCUGUCUACGCCAUUUCCAGAUUUGGCAAGUCCAUAUUGUUGUCUCAAGCUCCCUAAAUUGUCUAGAGCUCUUUCAAACAAGCAGAAUAUCUCAUCCUUCACAGCUAAUGAUCUGCAAUACAUUGACCACUCAAACAUUAAUUUAGACAAACAAGGUAGAUACAUGAUAAUAAAAUCAAUAACAAAAUUAGAAUCAUUGCAAUCUAGUACUGGUCUAGCUAACAUGUCACAUAGACACUACAAUCAACCACCUCAGAUAAGAGAGCCUUUAACUUAUGAAGUUAUUUGUAUGAUUGCCGAGAGAUAUCAUAAGGUAUCAUGAGACAAGCAAAGUAAAACAGGGGAAAUCAUAAGGUAUCAUGAGAGAUCAAAACAUUUUAUAAAAUAUUAUCGGUGGAAAAUGAAUUAACGAAACUUGAUCAAAACAAUGUUGCUCAUCAUAUGUCAAAACCAAUCCAAUAAUCAAUAAACCAUCUUCCCACAUUCUAAAUUUAAUUCACCUAGAUUUUCAUAUCAAAAUGCUUUUUUUUUUUCAAUCAAAACAAGGUUGAAACUUCACUAACCUCUAUCCCACUUUCAGCAAUACACCUGAAACCAACUAUUUAUUAACAAUUAUUCAAUACAGCAGAGUAUAGUACACGGACACUGAAUAAUUUUUAAACAACCAGAGUAAGCAAACAACAUGAAGAAUAGUAAGAAUCAUAAUGUAAAACCAAAAAAUCCCUAAACUUUUGAUAGAUAGCUAGUGAUCUAAGAAUAUUAAAUCCAAAAACAAAACCUGCAGAUUUUGAGAAAUACCAAACGAAAAUUGUAGAAAUAUAAAGGAAGAUGAGUGGAGGAAGAAGAAAACCAUUGUUGUCGUUCGAAAUCUGACCCUAACGCCCAAAACAUCUUCAAAUAUGUGUUCUACCGAACUUUCUAUUCUCCUCUUAGCUUACGCGGCAUUAAUUCUUGCAUUCCUGCAGGAUGUUUUAGGGUUUAAGAGAUUAAGAGGAAAGAGCAUACUAAUAGAAAAACUGUAAACUCAGAAAACCUAGAUCUAUUGUUUAACGAGAAAAGAGAGAAAACCUGAACCAUCAGCGUUGUCAUGUCCCAUCGCGUAUUCAGUUGUAUUUGCCGUUAAUGUUCCAAUCAAUCUUCGACAAAGCAGUGGAUUGAUCGGAUCUUGAAAGGAGAGGUAUAUACUUCAGGUUCGAAGAGAGAUUGGGAAAGAAGUUUUUUUUCUUUUUAAUAAUUUUGGGAAAGAAUGAUCUGAGAGCAAAAGAUUUAAGAGUAACUGCAAAAGAAAGAAGAAAAAAUUGAAAGCAAAGAGGGGGAAAAGUAAAGUGAAAAGCGGGGAAAACAAAAUUUGGAGAGCGCUUGGUGAAUUU